RNAcentral lists this transfer RNA (72 nucleotides) under Candidatus Woesearchaeota archaeon. RNAcentral describes it as "tRNA-Gly". It matches the Rfam family "tRNA". From Rfam's summary of the family: Transfer RNA (tRNA) molecules are approximately 80 nucleotides in length. Their secondary structure includes four short double-helical elements and three loops (D, anti-codon, and T loops). Further hydrogen bonds mediate the characteristic L-shaped molecular structure. tRNAs have two regions of fundamental functional importance: the anti-codon, which is responsible for specific mRNA codon recognition, and the 3' end, to which the tRNAs corresponding amino acid is attached (by aminoacyl-tRNA synthetases). tRNAs cope with the degeneracy of the genetic code in two manners: having more than one tRNA (with a specific anti-codon) for a particular amino acid; and 'wobble' base-pairing, i.e. permitting non-standard base-pairing at the 3rd anti-codon position. The record is from RNAcentral. Lineage: Archaea; Nanobdellati; Candidatus Woesearchaeota.
GCGCCAGUAGUCCAGUGGUUAAGAUACGGCCUUGCCAAGGCUGUGACCCGGGUUCGAAUCCCGGCUGGCGCA